RNAcentral lists this ribosomal RNA (121 nucleotides) under Escherichia coli. RNAcentral describes it as "partial 16S ribosomal RNA". It matches the Rfam family "Bacterial small subunit ribosomal RNA", at positions 1 to 114 of the family's 1533-position model. RNAcentral also lists the same sequence under 6 other names. The record is from RNAcentral. Lineage: Bacteria; Pseudomonadati; Pseudomonadota; Gammaproteobacteria; Enterobacterales; Enterobacteriaceae.
AAAUUGAAGAGUUUGAUCAUGGCUCAGAUUGAACGCUGGCGGCAGGCCUAACACAUGCAAGUCGAACGGUAACAGGAAGAAGCUUGCUUCUUUGCUGACGAGUGGCGGACGGGUGAGUAAU